Pogona vitticeps (central bearded dragon) is the source of this 818-nucleotide non-coding RNA. The record is from RefSeq and is a predicted model, not a curated record. Lineage: Eukaryota; Metazoa; Chordata; Lepidosauria; Squamata; Agamidae.
CAGAAGGCGGGGCCGUUCUUGGUCCUAUAUAAGCAGCCCCUGAGGGUUGCUCACUUCCUUUUCGUAGCUGCCGCCAACGUUGGUGAGAGGCCUGGACUUUGUCCCUGUAGGCCAGAAUGCCAGUUGCCAGGAGUUGGGUAUGUCGGAAGACAUAUGUCACCCCCCGCCGACCCUUUGAGAAAUCUCGCCUCGACCAGGAGCUCAAACUAAUUGGUGAGUAUGGGCUACGGAACAAGCGUGAAGUGUGGCGAGUAAAGUUCACUUUGGCCAAGAUCCGCAAAGCUGCCCGUGAGCUACUCACCCUGGAUGAGAAGGAUCAGCGACGUCUCUUUGAGGGCAAUGCCUUAUUGCGCCGGCUGGUCAGAAUUGGGGUACUGGAUGAGGGCAAGAUGAAACUGGAUUACAUCCUGGGUCUGAAGAUAGAGGAUUUCUUGGAGAGACGUCUCCAGACUCAGGUCUUCAAGCUGGGCCUGGCCAAGUCCAUCCACCAUGCUCGGGUGCUCAUCCGCCAAAGACACAUCCGCCUAUUCCAAGAUAUAUGUAGCAGUGCCUCAGCUGUUCUUUUUGCAUCACCCGCCCCUUCCCUGGAUUGGAACUCUGGAUAGCUCAGUAAUGUUGCAACCCAUCUCAUGAGGCAGCGUACCAAAUAGAACUCAAAAGAUUUCGGCAAGGCUCACUGCGGCUCAGCCGUACACCUUGCGAAGGUCUUGGCCACGUGAGCAGUGGAGUGUAAGGAAGCAAGUGGUGAACAUCCCUUCCUUCAUUGUUCGUCUGGACUCUCAAAAACAUAUCGAUUUCUCCCUCCGUUCGCCAUAUGG